CUUUCCGCUGGUUACUGCGUGAGUCCAAGGUCAGUAGAGUGAGAGCACCCGCAAGGGGGGACGUGUAUCGGACCACUUCAAACACCAACGUAUUUAAUUCAUAUUUAUUUGAAAUAAAUGAAAGCCGUUAACGGACGAAAGAUGAGAAAGGCUAAAACGUGCAAGAAAAGGUGCUUGUGGAGUGAGGAAGCCAUGCGUAGCGCUAUUGAGGCAUGCAUGGAAGGGAUGAUGGUGAGGGAGGCAGUCAGGCUCUACCAGGUAGAAAACUUUGUGAAUGCGCUUUCACGUUUACUGCAUAUUUUAAUUGUAUUUUGGUGUGUAAAAUAUUUCAAGAAGUUUUUAAGAUCUUCCACCAGCGUCACCGUGUGGAGCUCACUAUGAGGACACCGAAUAUCACUGAUAGAGUAACAGAGACACAGCCCUUGCCGUCCUCCUCUGGUGAACCAGCGCUUGCCAGGCCCAUGACACCACCCACAGACAGCACAUCGUUAAAUUGGGGGGAAAGCCUCAGCCGAUGCUGUGGCUGCGGCAAGGCUGAGCCCCCUGACGAAGAUGACAUGGUGGUGUCAUGGGUUGCCUGUAAAUCCUGCGAGCGCUGGUUCCACUCAAAAUGUGUUUUUUUAUGAAAAAAUUCAUAUGUACAGUUAUUUAUACAUUUUUAGCAUUUGUAUAUUUUUACAUGUAAAUACAUUUAAAUUUUUUAUUUUAAAUACAUUUUUAUCUUAUUUCACUUAGAAAAUGUAAUUAACCUAAAUUACAGAUAUCAGGCAGUAAAGUAGACAUUAUAUUGCCAAGAGUCAAGAAGGCCAUGAUGUAAUUCCUGUACAGCAGGCCAUGCUUGGUUCUUUACCAUAAUGUGUUUUGUAUCAUUGUACUUUGUAUCAUUAUCUUGAUGUUGUAGCUUGUAAUUUCCCCUAGUUUGACUUAGCAUAGGUUUGGUCAGCGUAAUGUUUACUGUGUGAACUGGACUUAAUGUGCUCAUGCCUAUGAAUAACUUACAAAAUGAGUAUUGUACCUUAUCAGACCUGUGUUUUGUAGUUGUUCCAGUGACCUUCGGUAUGCACUUAUUGUAUGUCGCUUUGGAUAAAAGCGUCUGCCAAAAUAAAUGUAAUGUAAUGUG
Anguilla rostrata (American eel) is the source of this 1120-nucleotide long non-coding RNA. RefSeq lists it as uncharacterized. The transcript is spliced from 4 exons. Lineage: Eukaryota; Metazoa; Chordata; Actinopteri; Anguilliformes; Anguillidae. The record is from RefSeq and is a predicted model, not a curated record.